RNAcentral lists this ribosomal RNA (468 nucleotides) under uncultured bacterium. Its description in RNAcentral is "partial 16S ribosomal RNA". It matches the Rfam family "Bacterial small subunit ribosomal RNA", at positions 28 to 507 of the family's 1533-position model. The record is from RNAcentral.
GACGAACGCUGGCGGCGUGCUUAACACAUGCAAGUCGAACGGAAAGGCCCUGCUUUUGUGGGGUGCUCGAGUGGCGAACGGGUGAGUAACACGUGAGUAACCUGCCCUUGACUUUGGGAUAACUUCAGGAAACUGGGGCUAAUACCGGAUAGGAGCUCCUGCUGCAUGGUGGGGGUUGGAAAGUUUCGGCGGUUGGGGAUGGACUCGCGGCUUAUCAGCUUGUUGGUGGGGUAGUGGCUUACCAAGGCUUUGACGGGUAGCCGGCCUGAGAGGGUGACCGGCCACAUUGGGACUGAGAGACGGCCCAGACUCCUACGGGAGGCAGCAGUGGGGAAUAUUGCACAAUGGGCGGAAGCCUGAUGCAGCAACGCCGCGUGCGGGAUGACGGCCUUCGGGUUGUAAACCGCUUUCGCCUGUGACGAAGCGGGAGUGACGGUAAUGGGUAAAGAAGCACCGGCUAACUACGUG